UCUGCUUUAGAAAUGUUUAGUUCUACAAACCUCUACUUAAAAAGAAAAAAAAAAAAACAUUUGGAUGGUCUGAAACCCUUUUGAAAAUAAAUACUCUACAGGUAACUACCAUAUUUCCAACCAAACUGUGCUGAAGCUUUGGCUGUUGACCCAAGAGAGGGAACAGCAGUUUACCACUCUUGUUCCUAGAUGCCCCAGGAUAACCCAAGGCUUGCGUGGACACCAGUAGGAAACAGAC
RNAcentral lists this long non-coding RNA (238 nucleotides) under Mustela putorius furo (domestic ferret). RNAcentral's name for it is "lncRNA (ENSMPUG00000031794.1)". Lineage: Eukaryota; Metazoa; Chordata; Mammalia; Carnivora; Mustelidae. The record is from RNAcentral.